Leptonychotes weddellii (Weddell seal) is the source of this 1918-nucleotide non-coding RNA. NCBI's taxonomy places the organism in Eukaryota, Metazoa, Chordata, Mammalia, Carnivora, Phocidae. The record is from RefSeq and is a predicted model, not a curated record.
CUUAACCAACUGAGCCAGCCACAUACUGAGACGUCUAAUAAUCUUUCUAUUAUCAUCUUUCUAUAUAUCAAAAAAAUAUUUUUUUUUCCAGGUGAGGUUUUAGGGUUAUUAGGACUUAACGGAACCAGUAAAAGCACAUCCAUUAGGACGUUAACUGGAGACACCAAACCAAGUGCAGGACAGGUAGGUAGAUGAGAUGAAUAAUAUGUAAUCCAAAACACCCAGGAUAAAGUCAAUUUGAAGAUCUAAUUGGCUUUAUUAAGCAAUUGAUGAUUUGGGCAGCAUCCCAUCUAGCAAGACGAGAGACAUUCUUCUCCCCUCUAUUGAUCGCAUCUGUGGUCACUGUGACGCAUCUUUCUCUUCUCCAACCUGAGUGUCCCAACUUUCCAGCCCGUGUGGUCAUUCACAGUAUGCCCCAGAUUGGCACGGUGGCUGCUAUUGGCCUGGGACAUGUGGUGGCCCAUUUCCAAUCCACUGGGCUCCAAUAGGGACCCUAACUGUGCCUCCCAGGCUGUUUUGUUGAACCAGAAGUAUUUUCAACUCUAUUAGGGGCAAACUGUAAUUAAUGGCUUCUGAAAAAAAGCCCAAGAGGCUAUCUGUUCCUUAGACAACCAUAGACAACCAUAGCUGUCUUCACUCUAAUCUCCUGAUGUCUGCCUUUUCCACAGGUUUCUUCUUCCCACAACUUCCUGCCGCUGUGCCGAGUCUACUAAAGCUCACGUGCAGGGAAGGAAAACUUCUCAGGAUGUCUCCUCCCUUAAACAGAGAUCUCACAAAGUGGACAACAACCAAAGAUAACACACGCUCUUCCCCCCGCAAACCUGAGCAAACACGUUUGUGUGUUUAGCUAUAAGACGCUCUGUCCAUCACUCCAUUUAAGAUUUGCCUAUAUUUUCUGUUUGUACCCUAAGGUGAUGUCGUAAACCAUCCAGAUUGAAAAAAGAUGAGCUCCUAAGACCUGGCCGUCCUUCUGCAGUUAAAUAGAGCUUCAACCUGGAGGAGUACAGCCUCUUGCCUCCCAGCCUAGAGCAGUAGGAGUAUGUGUUGGAGGAGGUCACAAGGAGGACAGGACUGCCCCAGGCCCCCAGGGCUGGCCCCAGCAAUCCCAGGCUGCUUGCCUCCUCCCUGGUCCCUGGAAUGUGUGACCCACCCGCCUCACCCAUGCCAGAGCUGUUUUGAAGAUCUCAGCCUUCAGAAAGCAAUGUGCUGUUGAGACCAUAUGGAGGGUGUACACGACUGAACCCCAUUAAGGCCUUUGUGUAAACAAUUAAGAUUCUGGUGGCCGUUGUGGAGAUCUCCCUGUCUGGCCGCGUGGGAAACAAGCCUCCUAAGUUGUAUGGAACUCAAAUGAGAAACCGCAGGUGGAAGUUUUGUAAACCACAAAGCUCUUUAUGCAGAUUUUCUACUGAAGCAGAAUGCACAUUCACACAAUGUGUGACCUUGACAACACAAAGUGAUUUCCAUUAACUCCUAAAAUCUUCACUGGUAGGUCACAGACUGGUAAGUCUCUGAUCCAUUCUCCAAGGACAAGAAGCCCACACAACGAAACAUUCUCAUUUUAACAGAAUUUUCCCACCCUUGGCCUCUCCUGUACCAUAGGGCAUAUAGAUCACAUGAUGGGAGUGGCAACUGUUUGCAGAACACUCUGAAGUAAAGUCCGUUCCUACUCCAGGCUUCACUCAAAGAUGGCAGCCUUCCCAGUGAGGCAGUGCAUGGGCUGGAGAGUAUUACUAGGUACUGGUCUUCUAUUGGUAGAGGAUGCAAGAUGUGGCAAUUCAUCUCUUACUUUGGAGGAGAUAUGCAGAGCACCCCUGACCACUAGACCGAGAACGCCUUCAGUGACGUGAUGGGUUCCUUAUCCUCAGAUGAUUUGUCUCCUACUCUCUGGAGCAUUUGUGUCUUCCCCAUGUGAACAGUG